CCUACGGGAGACUGCAGUGAGGAAUAUUGGUCAAUGGACGAGAGUCUGAACCAGCCAAGUAGCGUGAAGGAUGACUGCCCUAUGGGUUGUAAACUUCUUUUAUAAAGGAAUAAAACGAGGCACGUGUGCCUUUUUGCAUGUACUUUAUGAUUAAGGAUCGGCUAACUCCGUGCCAGCAGCCGCGGUAAUACGGAGGAUCCGAGCGUUAUCCGGAUUUAUUGGGUUUAAAGGGAGCGUAGAUGGGUUGUUAAGUCAGUUGUGAAAGUUUGCGGCUCAACCGUAAAAUUGCAAUUGAUACUGGGAGUCUUGAGUACAGUUGAGGUAGGCGGAAUUCGUGGUGUAGCGGUGAAAUGCUUAGAUAUCACGAAGAACCCCGAUUGCGAAGGCAGCUUACUAAACUGUGACUGACAUUGAUGCUCGAAAGUGUGGGUAUCAAACAGGAUUAGAUACCCGUGUAGUC
RNAcentral lists this ribosomal RNA (460 nucleotides) under uncultured bacterium. RNAcentral describes it as "partial 16S ribosomal RNA". It matches the Rfam family "Bacterial small subunit ribosomal RNA", at positions 338 to 795 of the family's 1533-position model. The record is from RNAcentral.